GGGGCUGUAGCUCAGUGGUAGAGUGCUUGCCUUGCAUGCAUGAGGCACUGAGUUUGAUCCUCAGCACCA
This 69-nucleotide transfer RNA is filed under the name Ictidomys tridecemlineatus (thirteen-lined ground squirrel). RNAcentral describes it as "Spermophilus tridecemlineatus (thirteen-lined ground squirrel) tRNA". It matches the Rfam family "tRNA". Rfam says of the family: Transfer RNA (tRNA) molecules are approximately 80 nucleotides in length. Their secondary structure includes four short double-helical elements and three loops (D, anti-codon, and T loops). Lineage: Eukaryota; Metazoa; Chordata; Mammalia; Rodentia; Sciuridae. RNAcentral also lists the same sequence under 1 other name. The record is from Rfam by way of RNAcentral.